UACGUAGGGACCAAGCGUUGUCCGGAAUCAUUGGGCGUAAAGAGCGUGUGGCGGCUUGUUAAGUCUUGCGUGAAAUCUCGGGGCUCAACCCCGAGCGGUCGUGAGAAACUGGCAGGCUAGAGUGCGGGAGAGGAGAGUGGAAUUUCUGGUGUAGCGGUGAAAUGCGCAGAUAUCAGGAAGAACACCCGUGGCGAAGGCGGCUCUCUGGAACGCAACUGACGCUGAGACGCGAAAGCGUGGGGAGCAAACAGG
This 252-nucleotide ribosomal RNA is filed under the name uncultured bacterium. RNAcentral's name for it is "partial 16S ribosomal RNA". It matches the Rfam family "Bacterial small subunit ribosomal RNA", at positions 524 to 776 of the family's 1533-position model. The record is from RNAcentral.